UGUCCACAAAAAUGACUAAUUGGCAACUUUUAUUGUUUACACCAUUAGUCACUAGCCGGAUGCCAUAGAGAGUGCACGUGCUUCCCUCCCACGCCUUUGCAGUUUUCCAUGCUGUAACCAUGAAACGAAGGAGAUGCAUUAGUGGUGAGGUGUUGCAGCUACUAGUCAACUCCGACGAUUUCCAGCAUGACCUUGACAGUACCGCAGGCGAGGUCAGUGAUGCCAACACUACCGUUGACGCCGUGCAAGGAGGUCACCCUACACAGGAGAACAUGCCCGAGUCUUCAUCUAAUCCUAUGUCUCCUGGACUAACAGACAUGGUCAUAGAAUGUACUGAAGAACCGAGUGGUCUGCCCAGAUCACUCUGAUGUCCUCUGCUUCGACUGCCAGGAAUAAGUGAAAUGCAGCAAGAUAUGUAUGCAGCUCGGGAUUGGAAGGCACCUGGCAAUGUCGAGUGAUGCAUGUAGUAUAUAUUUCUAGCUUUAGUUUUUAGUAUCAGUUAAUUUCAUGAUCUCAGGAACCAAAAAAUUAAGUACUUUUUUUUCUUAAAAAACUUUUUUUAUAAUUAUUCUGGAAAUUCAUUUUUGUUUAUAUUUCAUUCAUUUUUGUGUUUGCAGGCAUCUACGAGCCUUAUACUUUCAGUUUAGCAUUAUUUGGUUUAAAUAAAAUAAGUUUGUA
Long non-coding RNA from Portunus trituberculatus (swimming crab), 678 nucleotides. RefSeq lists it as uncharacterized. NCBI's taxonomy places the organism in Eukaryota, Metazoa, Arthropoda, Malacostraca, Decapoda, Portunidae. The record is from RefSeq and is a predicted model, not a curated record. The transcript has 3 exons.